GGCCGCGUAGUAUAAUGGCUAGUACAUGAGACUCUGAAUCUCAAAAUGGGAGUUCGAUCCUCUCCGUGGCCU
Molecule: transfer RNA, 72 nt
Organism: Salpingoeca sp.
Lineage: Eukaryota; Choanoflagellata; Craspedida; Salpingoecidae
Rfam family: tRNA
About the family: Transfer RNA (tRNA) molecules are approximately 80 nucleotides in length. Their secondary structure includes four short double-helical elements and three loops (D, anti-codon, and T loops).
Source: Rfam